GUCUCCCAUCCAAGUACUAACCAGGCCCGACCCUGCUUAACUUCCGAGAUCAGACGAGAUCAGGUGCGUUCAGGUUGGAGAUAGGAAGAGCAAGCGAUUGAAAGUC
Long non-coding RNA from Myotis brandtii (Brandt's bat), 106 nucleotides. RefSeq lists it as uncharacterized. Lineage: Eukaryota; Metazoa; Chordata; Mammalia; Chiroptera; Vespertilionidae. The record is from RefSeq and is a predicted model, not a curated record. The transcript is spliced from 3 exons.